CGUCUCAAUCUUCUCUGCAGCUGC
This 24-nucleotide non-coding RNA is filed under the name Arabidopsis thaliana (thale cress). Lineage: Eukaryota; Viridiplantae; Streptophyta; Magnoliopsida; Brassicales; Brassicaceae. The record is from RNAcentral.